UUACUGUGGAGGGACAUGCAGAUACACAAGACAGAGCAGUAACAGAGCAGCACUGUGUUAGAACAGGUUCUUACUGUGGAGGGACAUGCAGAUACACAAGACAGAGCAGUAAGUAACAGAGCAGCACUGUGUUAGAACAGGUUCUUACUGCGGAGGGACAUGCAGAUACACAAGACAGAGCAGUAACAGAGCAGCACUGUGUUAGAACAGGUUCUUACUGUGGAGGGACAUGCAGAUACACAAGACAGAGCAGUAACAGAGCAGCACUGUGUUAGAACAGGUUCUUACUGCGGAGGGACAUGCAGAUACACAAGACAGAGCAGUAACAGAGCAGCACUGUGUUAGAACAGGUUCUUACUGCGGAGGGACAUGCAGAUACACAAGACAGAGCAGUAACAGAGCAGCACUGUGUUAGAACAGGUUCUUACUGUGGAGGGACAUGCAGAUACACAAGACAGAGCAGUAUCAGAGCAGCACUGUGUUAGAACAGGUUCUUACUGUGGAGGGACAUGCAGAUACACAAGAAAGAGCAGUAACAGAGCAGCACUGUGUUAGAACAGGUUCUUACUGCGGAGGGACAUGCAGAUACACAAGACAGAGCAGGCACAUCUGGCUGUAUCGGAAGUUCUAAGUGAUCAAAAGCCAGCCAUCACAAAAUCUGGACGCAAAAUCAAAGGCAGGGGUACAAUGAGAUAUCACACUCCUCCUCGGUCAAGGUCUCGCUCACAAUCUCAAGAUGGUGAUGAAGAUGAGAAGAUCAGUGAAACCCCGCCUCACUGGAAAGAGGAAAUGCAGAGAACAAAAAUCUACCAGCCUCCCAGUGAAGAGAAGUGGAGUAAAGGGGACAAGCUGAAUGACCAUUACUCAAGCAGAUGGGAUGGCAAAAGUGCAUCCCCAUGGUCAAGGUCCCGGUCACAUGACGACUGCUCUGAUCACAGCACCGAGAGAUCCAGCCAAAACAGAAGACACAGAAAGGAAAAGAAGAGAUCAAAACACAGAAAGAAGUCUAAAAAGCAAAAGCAUUCAAAAAAGCUGAAAAUUCCUAAAACCAAACCAAAAACAGAUUCAACACCUCACAAGACUGUGUCGUCCCGUUCUUCAAGCAGGAAAUCGAAGCUUUCUAUUAAGCGUGAAAGAAGAUCUAGAUCUUGCACAAUAUCCUCAAGACAUUCCUCCAGACGAGACUGGUCAGGGUCUGACAAGAUCCGUCGUUCCUCACCAUUAUCCAGAAACUCUUCCUCCUAUUCCAGAUCAAAAAGCAGAUCAAGAUCCUAUUCUAGAAGCAGAAGUAGAUCAAGAACGAGGUCUAGAUCCUUGUCAAGGUCUAGAAGCAGGUCCAUAUCAAGAUCACAUAAGAGGACACCAUCGAGAUCACCUAGAAACACACGCUCAAAUGAGAACAAUAAAAGCCAAGUUGAUCCCCGUAGACAAAACACACAAACAAAUGAGAAUGUUUUACCAAAUGCUGUCUCUGAGAGUGUUCCUGCGUUACCCAUGAGUGAUAGCCCCCCACCUUCAAGGUGGAAACCAGGUCAAAAGCCUUGGAAACCUUCCUAUGUCAAUGUUCAGGAAAUCAAAGCCAAAACUCCAGCUCUACUUGCACAAUCGAGUUACACAGUAAAGAACAGCAAGGAGAAUUCCCGAUCUUCAUCGUACCACAACCAGCACAGACAUUCAGACAGCGAGAGAAGUGUUUACUCAAGCGAUAGGAGCUAUAACUAUAAGAGGAGGUCCAGGACCAGGUCUUGAAGAAGUAGAUCAUACAGGAGAUCGUACAGUAGAUCAAGAAGUAGAGAUUGUUCUAGCUCAAGAUCACGCACUCCAGUAAAGUAUCAUAGUCGUUCUUCAUCCUACAGCAGAUCCAACUCCUACAAUUCCUAUAAUUAUAAAACAAGGGCAAAAUCUAAUUCCAGAGAGAGAGGUGUCAAACAUUACAACGCAAUUCAAGAAAGUAGCCCUGAAGCUACAUUUGGUGACAGGUAUUUGGAUAACAGAAAAGAACUAAAAGGAGAAAAGGAAAAUCACAGAUUGUACUCCUCUGAGUAUUCUACCGACAGUGAAAGAAAUAAUGUGAAAAAAAAUAAAAAGCAUGAUGCGGUCUCAAAGAAGCAAAACAAUAAAUCGCAUUCUCAGUCGGAAGCCGACAGCAUUAAAACAUCUGAGCCAAAACAGAAGAAAUAUAAUACGAGUUCUUUUAGGGAGGAUCAGGUAUCAAAGUCCGGGUGGGACAGUGAUAGUGAUAAUUCAAAAAAAGAGCCAGGUGUUGAAGGCAGAUCAUCUGAAUUCCAGCAGCUCGAAUCCGGCAGGACCGAUGAAAAGACCAGCCCAGGUGUUGAAGGCGAAUCAUCUGAAUUCCAGCAGCUCAAAUCCGACAGGACUGAUGAAAAGACCAGCCCAGGUGUUGAAGGCAGAUCAUCUGAAUUCCAGCAGCUCAAAUCCGACAGGACUGAUGAAAAGACCAGCCCAGGUGUUGAAGGCAGAUCAUCUGAAUUCCAGCAGCUCAAAUCCGACAGGACUGAUGAAAAGACCAGCCCAGGUGUUGAAGGCAGAUCAUCUGAAUUCCAGCAGCUCAAAUCCGACAGGACUGAUGAAAAGACCAGCCCAGGUGUUGAAGGCAGAUCAUCUGAAUUCCAGCAGCUCAAAUCCGACAGGACUGAUGAAAAGACCAGCCCAGGUGUUGAAGGCAGAUCAUCUGAAUUCCAGCAGCUCAAAUCCGACAGGACUGAUGAAAAGACCAGCCCAGGUGUUGAAGGCAGAUCAUCUGAAUUCCAGCAGCUCAAAUCCGACAGGACUGAUGAAAAGACCAGCCCAGGUGUUGAAGGCAGAUCAUCUGAAUUCCAGCAGCUCAAAUCCGACAGGACUGAUGAAAAGACCAGCCCAGGUGUUGAAGGCAGAUCAUCUGAAUUCCAGCAGCUCAAAUCCGACAGGACUGAUGAAAAGACCAGCCCAGGUGUUGAAGGCAGAUCAUCUGAAUUCCAGCAGCUCAAAUCCGACAGGACUGAUGAAAAGACCAGCCCAGGUGUUGAAGGCAGAUCAUCUGAAUUCCAGCAGCUCAAAUCCGACAGGACUGAUGAAAAGACCAGCCCAGGUGUUGAAGGCAGAUCAUCUGAAUUCCAGCAGCUCAAAUCCGACAGGACUGAUGAAAAGACCAGCCCAGGUGUUGAAGGCAGAUCAUCUGAAUUCCAGCAGCUCAAAUCCGACAGGACUGAUGAAAAGACCAGCCCAGGUGUUGAAGGCAGAUCAUCUGAAUUCCAGCAGCUCAAAUCCGACAGGACUGAUGAAAAGACCAGCCCAGGUGUUGAAGGCAGAUCAUCUGAAUUCCAGCAGCUCAAAUCCGGCAGGACCGAUGAAAAGACCAGCCCAGGUGUUGAAGGCAGAUCAUCUGAAUUCCAGCAGCUCAAAUCCGGCAGGACCGAUGAAAAGACCAGCCCAGGUGUUGAAGGCAGAUCAUCUGAAUUCCAGCAGCUCGAAUCCGACAGGACCGAUGAAAAGACCAGCCCAGGUGUUGAAGGCAGAUCAUCUGAAUUCCAGCAGCUCGAAUCCGACAGGACUGAUGAAAAGACCAGCCCAUGUGUUGAAGGCAGAUCAUCUGAAUUCCAGCAGCUCAAAUCCGACAGGACUGAUGAAAAGACCAGCCCAGGUGUUGAAGGCAGAUCAUCUGAAUUCCAGCAGCUCAAAUCCGACAGGACUGAUGAAAAGACCAGCCCAGGUGUUGAAGGCAGAUCAUCUGAAUUCCAGCAGCUCGAAUCCGACAGGACUGAUGAAAAGACCAGCCCAGGUGUUGAAGGCAGAUCAUCUGAAUUCCAGCAGCUCAAAUCCGACAGGACUGAUGAAAAGACCAGCCCAGGUGUUGAAGGCAGAUCAUCUGAAUUCCAGCAGCUCAAAUCCGACAGGACUGAUGAAAAGACCAGCCCAGGUGUUGAAGGCAGAUCAUCUGAAUUCCAGCAGCUCAAAUCCGACAGGACUGAUGAAAAGACCAGCCCAGGUGUUGAAGGCAGAUCAUCUGAAUUCCAGCAGCUCAAAUCCGACAGGACUGAUGAAAAGACCAGCCCAGGUGUUGAAGGCAGAUCAUCUGAAUUCCAGCAGCUCAAAUCCGGCAGGACCGAUGAAAAGACCAGCCCAGGUGUUGAAGGCAGAUCAUCUGAAUUCCAGCAGCUCGAAUCCGACAGGACCGAUGAAAAGACCAGCAGCAGAAAGGCGUUUCUCAGCAGCAAAUGGGAUUCGGAAGAUCACUCAGAAACUGAAGAGAAAAAGAUCAUCAGAGGAGGUUCAACGUAUUCAAGCAAAGAAGAAGGUGAAGCUAGCUCGGGAUCUGAUAGUGAAGGCGGUAACUCUAAAAGCAGCAAAAUGAGCACGAGAUUGGCUUGUCUGUCACCUGCAAAUUCAGAGACUGAUGUGAAAAAGACCUCAAAGAAACAGACUUCAAUUGCUGCUGAAAGUUCAGUUUUGAGUUCAGGAAGUGAGAAGGUAAUGCCCAAGAAGAAAGCAAAACGCAAACGCAAGCACAAGAAACGAAGCUCGACAAAGGCAGGGUACAGAAGAGGAAAGGCCAAAUCUAAGGGUAAGAAGUCCAAAAAAAAAAACCAGAAACCCAAAGAGACAUUCCACUGGCAGCCUCCUCUGGAAUUUGGGGAAGAGGAGGAGGAGGAGAAAAGGCCAGAAGAGAACGUGACUGUAAAACAGGUCGUGAAGGAAGGUCUGUUAAAACUUAUUGGGGAGACUGCUGUUAAACACAAAGAAAGUAAAAGCAGUGCUGAGGAAACUCACAAGACACCCAAAGAAAACUUCCAGUCGGGUGCAGCUUCUCAGAGGGCUCAAGAACAGUCAACCAAAAAUGAACAAGAAUCGAAGCAAUCGCCAACGAAUGUCAAGAGUCCAAGACGAGGUGAAAGUACAGAAGCAGAAUUCAGCGAAACUGAUGGUAAAGAACUAGCUGAGGAGUUCCCAGAGAAAACAGAGCAAUCUGAUGAUAGUAUGGAGAUCUGUACCCCAGAGCAGAACACACCUGAAAGGGACUAUGCAAAAACUACACCGCAACAGGGCUCCCCAUUAAAAGAGCAUGUCCGUCCUGCAAACAGAGACACCGAGAAUGCUUUAAACACAACUGUAGUAGAAGCAUUAAAGAUGGAGCCACAUCCGAUGAAUAGCAGAGCCUCUUCUAACGUGUUGAUAAGCAACGAUUCAGGGGAUGAAAAUGAUAAAGCACAAAAUGAAUUGCAGUGUUUAUCUAUUGACCCAAAGUGGAAGCCUCUGAAAGAUCUUUCUAAUCAGCAGCCAGUCAGCACCAUGAAUGCUGUAGAAGGUAAAAGCACAGACGCCUCAGGUUGUGUGGAGACCAAGCCCCAGGGCCUCCGAAUAGAGAUUAAAAGCAAGAGUCGGGUCCGACCUGGAUCUCUUUUUGAUGAAGUUCGAAAGACAGCCAUGAAUCAAAGACAGAGGAACAAAGAGAGCUCAAGUGAGGAGAGAUCUCCUUCCGUAGAGGAUAAAAGCAAGUCCCGGAGCCGAACCAGAUCACCCAGUAAAUCUGGAUCGAGCCAGCGAACACGCUCAAGAACGAGAUCACUGUCCUCCAGCCGCUCGCGCACUCGAUCAAGGAGUUCCACUUAUUCCUACAGGUCUAGAAGCUACACUAGAAGUCGCAGCAGGAGGAGGUACAGUCGGGGUCGAUCAAGGACUCGGAGCAGCACUGACCGGAGUUACAGAAGACACAGCCAUAGCAGUAGGACCUACAGUAGAAGUCGGUCCAGGAGCAGGUCUUCUGAUCGGCGCAGAAGAUCCAGGUCCGUCACAUAUGACAGCUACUACAACAGAAGUAGGAGUCGAAGCAGCAGGAGACGAAGAAGUGACAGCUACC
Acipenser ruthenus (sterlet) is the source of this 5854-nucleotide RNA transcript. It is a transcript of the gene named NK-tumor recognition protein-like, with no coding region annotated. NCBI's taxonomy places the organism in Eukaryota, Metazoa, Chordata, Actinopteri, Acipenseriformes, Acipenseridae. The record is from RefSeq and is a predicted model, not a curated record. The transcript has 7 exons.